CCGCCGUUGAAGAGCACCGAAGAGUGCGCUAAAGACGGCGCCGCCGACGCGUGGGUGUUCGACGUCGAUGAGAUGAUGCUCUCCAAACUCCCCUACUACGCGCAGCACAGAUACGGAUGGGAGAGGCGGCAGUGAUCCAUUCCAGCAUGACUGUUGUACAAGGAGGUGUGAGAGCUCGGCUUCAAGACCUUCUUGCUCAGCGGCUGCAUCGAGGUUCACAAGGGUGUCACGGUGGACAAUCUAAAAAAAAAGGGUUCCAUGAGUGGGGCAAGCUUUCCUGAGUUUGGGCAGUCAUUAAGCACUACGGCCAGCUAUGCAAGUCGACGGCUACAACAUGCAGUAUCCACAGAUGUUCCAAUUCUCAUCUGUGGCCUCUAGAGAUGCUGCUGUAACAGUCUUUGUACGGAAAUACGGACAGCAAUUGUCACUUGCAGGGAGUCCUCAAGCCCAAGCAGGUACUACUAGCAUCUUUUAUACAUCUACUUCAUACUUCUCUAACAAUUUGGCUUUGGUUGUUCAAGCCAGACAGUGUCCGGCUAAACAAAGCAACAAGUGCGACCUUUUAGAGUUUAGUACAUAUAUUCCUCAUGGUAAAUAAAUCGCAUCCCGUAAUAAUAGAUUAUAUUUCAAUAUAUUAUAGCUCUAUCUGCUCUAGAGUAUUACUGACAUAUUAGCUUCAUGUAUGGAUUUCUCUCAGCUUACUCACAAUAUAAGCAUCUGAUCGUUGGCUUCGAGACUUUUUGGUGUAUGAUAUAUGUUCCCAGCUCAAGUUUUCGUUGUUAGAGUAAGUGUGUAGCGUUAGAAUAUGCCUACCUCUUUUAUCUUUUACCAUCCCAUUCUUAUUUUAAACUGGGGAUCUAGAUUGGCAAGUGAUUUGUUGAUAUUAUACAUACUCAUAAGACACAUGUUUGGCGCGUUUGAAAACUGGUAAGAUUGUGCCAUUGGUGAUCAGUUUGUUCAUUGAUCAGCCUAGAGAUGAUUCCAAGUUGUGGUUUUAUUGUUGCCUUGCAUGUUUGAUGGUUGCUUGUGGGGUGUUUAUUGGACUCACGUGAUACAAAAAAUCUAACAUGGCAACGGAAGGAAAAAAAUUAAUUUUUCCAUUUAUUGGACUCACAUUAUACAAAAAAAAUUAGCAAUCAUGUAACUCUGGCUACUUUACCUUCGCUGAAGCUAUUCAUUCAUCAAUUUUAGAUAGAUUGAUUAGGAACAUUACUAUUUCCAAAUUCUACAUCACAUGAUCGAAGCAAGCUGUUUGGCAUGGUUAAUAUGUGUACAACUUGUUGAGAAGUAAGCAUAUGUUUGGAAUUGCAAAAACUUUUUAGGGUCCCCACAGAGAUACAUUGCGUGUUUUCUUGUUGGGAUAGACUGCUUGUGCUACAUAACAGGUUAUUGUUUCCAAGUAUAACAAAGGCUCUUUGAUAUCCGGUUAUUGAAUUUCAAAUUUAAAGGUAUGGUCAUGCUUUGAGCAAUGAUAACCAUUUUUUCACAUGUUUUCUUGGUAGCUCGGAAGCUAUCUUAAUAUUUAGAGGUGCUUAUAGUUCUUGUUCUUUGCAUUAGUCACCAACUUCCUAUAUUCAGUAUUCUGUUUAUUCUAUAUUUCUCUCUAAUGGGUUCUGUAGUUAUGCAGAAUUUCUUUACACUUCAACAGUUUUGAAAUGAUUUCUCAUGUAUAUUUGGGUAAAGGUAAGUAGGAGAAAUAUUUAUUGUUCAUUGGUUUCUUUCAACCUACCUAUGAUCAAGAAACUAUUGAACUAUAUUUUCCACUCACUUUAUCCUUCAUCUUUAUAGAA
Molecule: long non-coding RNA, 1790 nt
Organism: Lolium rigidum
Lineage: Eukaryota; Viridiplantae; Streptophyta; Magnoliopsida; Poales; Poaceae
Exons: 3
Source: RefSeq, a predicted model, not a curated record